UUUGACGUUUUGUGAUUUUUUCGGUAAAAUGAUUACUGGAGAUAGUAUAGGUUAAAACAUCAGAGGAAGAGUUCCAUAGUAAGCCUAAGGUUUUAUUUUGUUCUCUACUGCCGAUGGUAAAACCGUGCUGUUCAAGAAGAUUGGAUAAAAUUCGUUUUAUGUAAAGAAGUUCUUCGAGUGAAUCACUUCCAGUAAGUAGAUCAUCUACAUAAAAAUCCUGCAGUAUGAUUGAAGCAAUUUUCGGAAAUUCAACUUGAUGAAGAUACGCCACUUCAUGUAGGCAUCGAAUAGACAGGAAAGCUGCACAGGCAGUUCCAAAACGAUGUUCGGGGUUGAUGUAGACCUGCCGAUACAUCUUGGUUAUGUCGGCACUAAGAACGAAUUUAUGUCUUCUGAAUCGUAGAACUAUUGAGAAUAAGUCGUCCUGUAUGGUUGGACCUACCAUCAAAAUGUCAUUGAGGGACAGACCAGAAGAGGAUUUAGCACUGCCAUCGAAGACAACACGUAGCUUUGUGGUAGAGCUGGUGUCUUUCAGGACACAAUGGUGGGGAAGAAAAAAACCAGAUUCGUCCGUUUGAUUGUCAGUUAGAGACAUGUGAUUCAAUGGCAAGAAAUCUGUUGGUAGAAGAUGUCCUUGAAUCGCCCAGUUUUACAGGUGAUUCUUUUAGGGGAAGAGAUACUGAAAAAUGUCCAUCAGGUCUGUGAGUUAUGUUUUGUUUAAAGUGAGUUUCGCAAGCAUUCUCCUCUUCGGAAACGUACUUCACUUCCGGACAUUGUUCAAUCUCCCAAAACUUGCAGAGUUGUUCGUUCAAUUCGAGGGUAUUAAUACUGAGGUUACACUGAUAUUCAGGAUUUGUUUGCCUUUUCGUUUGAAUUGGUCCCGAAAGAAUCCAACCUAGUUUGGUUUUUUGGAGAAUUGGUUGGCCGUUGCCAAGUUUUAUUUGACCAAUACUGACAAGUUCCCAGAAGAUUUCAGCUCCUAUUAGUAAAUCAACAGGGGUGGAUUCAUGG
Molecule: long non-coding RNA, 1011 nt
Organism: Harmonia axyridis
Lineage: Eukaryota; Metazoa; Arthropoda; Insecta; Coleoptera; Coccinellidae
Exons: 4
Source: RefSeq, a predicted model, not a curated record